This 494-nucleotide ribosomal RNA is filed under the name uncultured bacterium. Its description in RNAcentral is "partial 16S ribosomal RNA". It matches the Rfam family "Bacterial small subunit ribosomal RNA", at positions 29 to 507 of the family's 1533-position model. The record is from RNAcentral.
AUGAACGCUGGCGGCGUGCCUAAUACCUGCAAGUAGAACGCUGAAGGCGGAGCUUGCUCUUCUGGAUGAGUUGCGAACGGGUGAGUAACGCGUAGGUAACCUGCCUGGUAGCGGGGGAUAACUAUUGGAAACGAUAGCUAAUACCGCAUGACAACAGUUAUUGCAUGAUAACUGUUUAAAAGGGGCAACUGCUCCACUACCAGAUGGACCUGCGUUGUAUUAGCUAGUUGGUGAGGUAACGGCUCACCAAGGCGACGAUACAUAGCCGACCUGAGAGGGUGAUCGGCCACACUGGGACUGAGACACGGCCCAGACCCCUACGGGAGGCAGCAGUAGGGAAUCUUCGGCAAUGGACGGAAGUCUGACCGAGCAACGCCGCGUGAGUGAAGAAGGUUUUCGGAUCGUAAAGCUCUGUUGUAAGAGAAGAACGAGUGUGAGAGUGGAAAGUUCACACUGUGACGGUAUCUUACCAGAAAGGGACGGCUAACUACGUG